GGCGACAUAGCCAAGUGGUAAGGCGUGGGUCUGCAACACCCUGAUCACCAGUUCGAAUCUGGUUGUCGCCUCUA
This 74-nucleotide transfer RNA is filed under the name Eubacterium sp. Its description in RNAcentral is "tRNA-Cys". It matches the Rfam family "tRNA". From Rfam's summary of the family: Transfer RNA (tRNA) molecules are approximately 80 nucleotides in length. Their secondary structure includes four short double-helical elements and three loops (D, anti-codon, and T loops). The record is from RNAcentral. RNAcentral also lists the same sequence under 1 other name. Lineage: Bacteria; Bacillati; Bacillota; Clostridia; Eubacteriales; Eubacteriaceae.